Molecule: ribosomal RNA, 445 nt
Filed under: uncultured bacterium
Lineage: Bacteria
Description: partial 16S ribosomal RNA
Rfam family: Bacterial small subunit ribosomal RNA
Source: RNAcentral
GUGAGGAAUAUUGUGCAAUGGAGGCAACUCUGACGCAGCCAUGCCGCGUGCAGGAAGAAGGCGCUACGCGUUGUAAACUGCUUUUAACCGGGAAGAAACCCCAGGACGUGUCCUGGGUUGACGGUACCGGAGGAAUAAGCACCGGCUAACUUCGUGCCAGCAGCCGCGGUAAUACGAAGGGUGCAAGCGUUAUCCGGAUUCAUUGGGUUUAAAGGGUGCGUAGGCGGAGCGUUAAGUCAGUGGUGAAAUCCUGCAGCUUAACUGUAGACUUGCCAUUGAUACUGGCGCUCUUGAGUGCGCUUGAAGUGGGCGGAAUGUGCCGUGUAGCGGUGAAAUGCUUAGAUAUGGCACAGAACACCAAUUGCGAAGGCAGCUCACUAAGGCGAUACUGACGCUGAGGCACGAAAGCGUGGGGAUCGAACAGGAUUAGAAACCCGUGUAGUCC